This 1477-nucleotide ribosomal RNA is filed under the name metagenome. RNAcentral describes it as "bacterial SSU rRNA". It matches the Rfam family "Bacterial small subunit ribosomal RNA". The record is from RNAcentral.
AGAGUUUGAUCCUGGCUCAGGAUGAACGCUGGCGGCGUGCUUAACACAUGCAAGUCGAACGAAGCACUUUAUUUGAUUUCCUUCGGGACUGAUUAUUUUGUGACUGAGUGGCGGACGGGUGAGUAACGCGUGGGUAACCUGCCUUGUACAGGGGGAUAACAGUUGGAAACGGCUGCUAAUACCGCAUAAGCGCACAGCAUCGCAUGAUGCAGUGUGAAAAACUCCGGUGGUAUAAGAUGGACCCGCGUUGGAUUAGCUAGUUGGUGAGGUAACGGCCCACCAAGGCGACGAUCCAUAGCCGACCUGAGAGGGUGACCGGCCACAUUGGGACUGAGACACGGCCCAAACUCCUACGGGAGGCAGCAGUGGGGAAUAUUGCACAAUGGGCGAAAGCCUGAUGCAGCGACGCCGCGUGAGCGAAGAAGUAUUUCGGUAUGUAAAGCUCUAUCAGCAGGGAAGAUAAUGACGGUACCUGACUAAGAAGCACCGGCUAAAUACGUGCCAGCAGCCGCGGUAAUACGUAUGGUGCAAGCGUUAUCCGGAUUUACUGGGUGUAAAGGGAGCGUAGACGGAGAGGCAAGUCUGAUGUGAAAACCCGGGGCUCAACCCCGGGACUGCAUUGGAAACUGUUUUUCUAGAGUGUCGGAGAGGUAAGCGGAAUUCCUAGUGUAGCGGUGAAAUGCGUAGAUAUUAGGAGGAACACCAGUGGCGAAGGCGGCUUACUGGACGAUGACUGACGUUGAGGCUCGAAAGCGUGGGGAGCAAACAGGAUUAGAUACCCUGGUAUUCCACGCCGUAAACGAUGAUGGCUAACCGCCGGCGACACACUGUCGGUGGCCAAGCGAAAGCGAUAAGCCAUCCACCUGGGGAGUACGUCGGCAACGAUGAAACUCAAAGGAAUUGACGGGGGCCCGCACAAGCGGAGGAACAUGUGGUUUAAUUCGAUGAUACGCGAGGAACCUUACCCGGGCUCGAACGGCACCUGGAUCGCCCAGAGAUGGGCGAGUCUUCGGACAGGUGUCGAGGUGCUGCAUGGUUGUCGUCAGCUCGUGCCGUGAGGUGUCGGCUCAAGUGCCAUAACGAGCGCAACCCCUGCCGCCAGUUGCCAUCAGGUGAUGCUGGGCACUCUGGCGGGACUGCCACCGCAAGGUGUGAGGAGGGGGGGGAUGACGUCAAAUCAGCACGGCCCUUACGUCCGGGGCGACACACGUGUUACAAUGGCGGCCACAGAGGGAAGCUACCCCGCGAGGGGAUGCGGAUCUCGAAAAGCCGUCCCAGUUCGGACUGGAGUCUGCAACCCGACUCCACGAAGUUGGAUUCGCUAGUAAUCGCGCAUCAGCCAUGGCGCGGUGAAUACGUUCCCGGGCCUUGUACACACCGCCCGUCAAGCCAUGGAAGCCGCGGGCGCCUGAAGUCCGUGACCGUAAGGAGCGGCCUAGGGCGAAAGUGGUAACUGGGGCUAAGUCGUAACAAGGUA